Molecule: long non-coding RNA, 319 nt
Organism: Hemiscyllium ocellatum (epaulette shark)
Lineage: Eukaryota; Metazoa; Chordata; Chondrichthyes; Orectolobiformes; Hemiscylliidae
Exons: 3
Source: RefSeq, a predicted model, not a curated record
AAGAAAUAAACAGCAGCAAGCGGGAGGGAAAUGGUGUUGGUCCGGGCUGAGAGGUUUUACAAACAUUUGGUGCACAUCGGAAAAUACAAAUUUGAAACUUACAGUCUCGUUUUUGCAGUAAACGGGAAAAUACCUCAUCUCGCGAUUGACUCGUAUACCCGUGAUUAAUGCCAAAGCCCUGUUUCCUGGGGAGAGGGUGAUGUUUGACUUUCUUGUACAGCUGCAGUUUGUGUGGUGAAGGUGCUCCCACAAUGUGGUUGGGAUGAGGCUGUCACUGGCUCGGCCAGCAUUUAUUGCUGCGUUUACCCAGAGGGCAGUU